This is a long non-coding RNA of Rhagoletis pomonella (apple maggot), 539 nucleotides long. RefSeq lists it as uncharacterized. The transcript is spliced from 3 exons. Lineage: Eukaryota; Metazoa; Arthropoda; Insecta; Diptera; Tephritidae. The record is from RefSeq and is a predicted model, not a curated record.
AUAAAAAUGUGUGCAACAUAGAAGUGUCAGCAGUGAUGGUAUAUUCUACACACGCACAAAGUAGCGUGCCACUUAAGAGACUACUCUGGAGGACGAGAUGCAUAUCUGUGAAUUGCUCAAGCGCCAACGCUUCUCUUGUGUUGGAGGCAUUUGACUAUGCUGUGAAGGCUGGGCGUGGCUUAUACAUAUGUACAUAUUUAAUGGGCACAAGCGUGAAGUGUCGUGAUUUUCCUUAAUGGCAAUUAACAUGGAAAUGGUAGUACUUGCGGGACUUCUUUUUAAUUUCUUUAAAAAUAUGAAAAAUAGUUGCGCCAGUCUCAACGGUAGCAGCAGAGCUAAUGAAAACCUCCGAAGUUGCCAAGGGCUCAUUUCUACGGCUUUGUCAUGGAGAUUUUUCGAAAAAGAAGAAUGUAAUAAUCACAGUCAGGUGCAUUGGACAAAUAGAUGGCACUAAUUUCUGAAUAAAGCAAGCUAAAUUAGUUAGAAAAGGCAUUGUACACCGAGUGCAAAACUCACAAACCAAAAACUGACCGAAUAAA